GAGUUUGAUCGUGGCUCAGAUUGAACGCUGGCGGCAGGCCUAACACAUGCAAGUCGAGCGGUAGAGAGAAGCUUGCUUCUCUUGAGAGCGGCGGACGGGUGAGUAAUGCCUAGGAAUCUGCCUGGUAGUGGGGGAUAACGCUCGGAAACGGACGCUAAUACCGCAUACGUCCUACGGGAGAAAGCAGGGGACCUUCGGGCCUUGCGCUAUCAGAUGAGCCUAGGUCGGAUUAGCUAGUUGGUGAGGUAAUGGCUCACCAAGGCGACGAUCCGUAACUGGUCUGAGAGGAUGAUCAGUCACACUGGAACUGAGACACGGUCCAGACUCCUACGGGAGGCAGCAGUGGGGAAUAUUGGACAAUGGGCGAAAGCCUGAUCCAGCCAUGCCGCGUGUGUGAAGAAGGUCUUCGGAUUGUAAAGCACUUUAAGUUGGGAGGAAGGGCAGUAAAUUAAUACUUUGCUGUUUUGACGUUACCGACAGAAUAAGCACCGGCUAACUCUGUGCCAGCAC
This 510-nucleotide ribosomal RNA is filed under the name uncultured bacterium. RNAcentral's name for it is "bacterial SSU rRNA". It matches the Rfam family "Bacterial small subunit ribosomal RNA", at positions 9 to 514 of the family's 1533-position model. The record is from RNAcentral.